Long non-coding RNA from Merops nubicus (carmine bee-eater), 866 nucleotides. RefSeq lists it as uncharacterized. The record is from RefSeq and is a predicted model, not a curated record. The transcript has 4 exons. NCBI's taxonomy places the organism in Eukaryota, Metazoa, Chordata, Aves, Coraciiformes, Meropidae.
CUGCACUUUGGAAGAGGUGCAGUCAUUCUUCCCCACACCCCCUACCCUCUCCACUCCCCCAACUAUAAAUUCCCUUCUGUAGCAUGCUGCCCUUUUUUAAUCCACAUUUGUGUUUCAGAUCAUGUAGAAAGGACAGAAAGUGAGCAGGGAGCGGGGGCUUUUGUCUAUUGUUCUCCUUGUGCAACUUGAGAGAAACUGCAAUCCCACGACUUAACAGAAUCUAAAAAUGGUUUAUCAGCCAAGGUUAAUGAUUUGGGUAAGCCAGAAAAUCUUUCCAACCAGCCGAGGGGAUGGGGGAUUUCCAAAGGGAAGUCUCCCCAUCUCGAAGGAAGUAAAUCGCAAGAAGAAAAGUGAGGUGGAAGGGUCAUGCCUGCUUCCAGUAAAUGGCUAUGGACACCAUUUCACCAAAAUCAAUUACCUCUACUCUUUUUAGUCAUAACUCCUCCAUUUGUAUUACAUAUGGUGUAUGGGUUUGAUGAGGUCAUGGUGUCAUAUAUCGGGAAUUGUUUCUGUGUAUAUCAUCAAGUGUAAGAAGAAACUAUGGGACUCUGAGCCUUGCUUUAGAGAAUAACAGUGGACAAACAUGUACCAUAAAAACUAGUUUUUAACAUUCUGACUCAAGCGAAAGCUCUCAGAAUUUCACACUGUGAAUCCAUGUUUACAAACAUUACAGGUGGGCCCUCAGGCCUGGUUCUAUCACAGCAAUGUCUUCCACUACUCAAACUCCACUGCUCACACACAACCGGUAAAUCGCUUUCUCCAUUUCCACCAUCCCAAUCUGCUUCUUGCAGAGGCUGAGAGUCCCCCUUUUUUCAUUUAGAUGUAACAAGCCUAGUAGUUUAUUUUCAUUGAUUGUCUGUAUAUCU